Trichomycterus rosablanca is the source of this 128-nucleotide small nucleolar RNA. RefSeq annotates it as small nucleolar RNA ACA64. Lineage: Eukaryota; Metazoa; Chordata; Actinopteri; Siluriformes; Trichomycteridae. The record is from RefSeq and is a predicted model, not a curated record. The transcript has a single exon.
ACAAUCUGAAAAUUACCUGUAGCGCAUCACUUGCUGUGGGUAAGAUAAUUGUGCCGACACAAAGGUGGUUCAUUUAGCUUAUUGGCAACUCUGCAUAGUUGUGCAAUGAAACCCAUGUACCUACAAUU